Molecule: ribosomal RNA, 207 nt
Filed under: uncultured bacterium
Lineage: Bacteria
Description: partial 16S ribosomal RNA
Rfam family: Bacterial small subunit ribosomal RNA
Source: RNAcentral
CUCGUAGGCGGCCAACUAAGUCAGACGUGAAAUCCCUCGGCUUAACCGGGGAACUGCGUCUGAUACUGGAUGGCUUGAGUUCGGGAGAGGGAUGCGGAAUUCCAGGUGUAGCGGUGAAAUGCGUAGAUAUCUGGAGGAACACCGGUGGCGAAGGCGGCAUCCUGGACCGACACUGACGCUGAGGAGCGAAAGCCAGGGGAGCAAACG